Long non-coding RNA from Monodelphis domestica (gray short-tailed opossum), 1904 nucleotides. Lineage: Eukaryota; Metazoa; Chordata; Mammalia; Didelphimorphia; Didelphidae. The record is from Ensembl.
GUCAGUCAGAUUUCUUAAGUAUUUCAAGUUGUUUGUCUUUGUAAAGCUGUUGUGUUAUUAAAUAAAUUGUUUUCUGCACCCUUCUAAUUUGAAAAAAAUUAGUGUUCAACACAGGUUCAAAUUGCUAUCCAGCUAGGAAUAAUUGAAUAGGGCCCCAGUUGUAUUUUGUUGGUUUUCAGAACUGGGGCCAUGAUUAAGAGGCACAGUAAGUGGCAUUUGUAUUAUGCCACUAGAGGUGAAAUUCUUAGAGCAGAACAAGAGAAAUCAGGGGGAAAGCAUUUCAUGUUUUCUAGAAUUCUACUCAAAAGCUCUAUACCUUAGUUCAGGCCCUUAUCAACUCUCACUCAGACUACUAUUGUAGCCUCCUAAUUAAUCACCUUGCCUCUAGUUUCUCCACUCUCUAAUCCAUCCUGCCAAAUUAUAUUCCUAAAGCCCUAGUGUGACCAUAUCACUCCCCUGCUCAAGAAGUAUCAGUGACUCCCUAUUGCUUUUAGACAAAAUAUUCUAACUGGCAUUUUGAGCACUUUACAAAUUUGGCUCCAACUUUCAUUUUUAGGCUAAUUUCUUUCUAUCUUCUAGCUAGAAGAAAAUCAUUUGUUUGCCAUUUCUCCCAUUCUAGACAUCCCAUUUCAUGUGACAGAACUGUUCCCUUAAUGCCUUCUUGGCUCUGCUCUUGUGGAACCCCAAACUCCCAUCAGUAAAUCAGGCAAUCAGGACUUGCUCUAUGGAGAGGUGAUGUAGGUGGAUGUCCACAUAGGUUUUAUAACUUGGCAGAUGUGACAAGUCCACCUACUCCCCAGAUAUCAGUGAAAAAGAUGGGAAGAUGACCCCUACAAGCAAAACACCUGACUCUACCACAUACCGUGUUACUAUAGGACCAUGUCAGGGGCCACUGCUCUCCUUGCUUUUCCCCACAGGUGGGAGACAAGAGCAUGGAUAUGGAGUUGAGUGGAAAGUGAAGAGUCGAAGAUGACUUCAUCGUUUUGAACCUGAGUGAUUGGAAGGAUAAAGAAGAAGUCAAGAAAAGAGAGGACACAAAAUGGUUUAGAGCCAUUACCUUUUUUUAGGCAUUCUUAUUCUGGGAUCUAUAAACUUGUUUUAUUAAAAAAUAUUUUGAAAACUAUUUCAAUGUAAUUUUCUUCAUACUUUCUAUGCAUUUUAUUUUAUGCAUUUAAAAACAUUAAUUUGAGAUGGGUUAAUAGGCUUCACUAGACUGCAAGACGCGUCUGUUGAUGGUUUAUCUCUUAACAUCAGUACUUUCUUAGGACAGGAUAGAUGCUGGGACAAAAUGAGGCACUUGCAAGACUGAACAUUUAACAUGAGGAGGUUUACUUAACCCUAACGCAUCAAGGAUAUGUAGCAAGUAUACUGUGACAGUUUCUCUUGACAUUGUCCCUUCUCUUCUCCCAAUUUCCACUUGAAAAUCUAGAUUAGCAGAGUAGGGUAGGAUGUGACUCGUGUGGGCUUCAGAAAUCCACCAAGGGAAAAGGAAUCUAGAUCCACAUGGCAGAACUAUCUAUUCCCUUAGAUGACCAAAAUGCAGCAGCCAUGAAGGAAACCAGGGGCUACCAAGUCCCAGGGCCAGCUUUGUUGUAGGCCUACCCCAAAUUGGUUGGUACAGAGAGGGAGAAGAUAAUGAAAUGGCACCAGAGAAGCCAGGGCAAUCAAGGAGACUUAUCAGGUCCCAGAGGCAGCCUCCCCAAAUUGUGGGUGGAAGGAAGGAAGCUAUGUCGGAGACACACUGGUCCUAUUACAGGUCCAUGACCCCCCAAAAAGAUUAAGAAAUCCCUGCCUCACUUGAUUCCCACAACAGCUUUGCUAGGUAAAGUACUGCAGGUACUAUUAUAGCCAUUUAUAGAUGGGGAAAUUAAUACUGUGAGAAGUUAAGUAAUUCAGCCAUAAUC